GACAGAGGGUGCUAGCGUUGUUCGGAAUUACUGGGCGUAAAGGGCGCGUAGGCGGCUCGUUUAGUCGGGUGUGAAAUCCCGGGGCUCAACCCCGGAAAAUGCAUUGAAUACUGCUUAGCUGGAGGUUUGGAGGGGGGACUGGAAUUCUCGGUGUAGCAGUGAAAUGCGUAGAUAUCGAGAGGAACACCAGUGGCGAAGGCGGGUCCCUGGACAACACCUGACACUGAGGCACGAAAGCUAGGGGAGCAAACAGG
RNAcentral lists this ribosomal RNA (254 nucleotides) under uncultured bacterium. Its description in RNAcentral is "partial 16S ribosomal RNA". It matches the Rfam family "Bacterial small subunit ribosomal RNA", at positions 524 to 776 of the family's 1533-position model. The record is from RNAcentral.